Molecule: non-coding RNA, 95 nt
Filed under: Dorea sp. CAG:317
Lineage: Bacteria; Bacillati; Bacillota; Clostridia; Lachnospirales; Lachnospiraceae
Also listed under: 1 other name
Description: Glycine riboswitch aptamer
Rfam family: Glycine riboswitch aptamer
About the family: This family represents the bacterial glycine riboswitch. Glycine riboswitches usually consist of two metabolite-binding aptamers domains with similar structures in tandem. The aptamers cooperatively bind glycine to regulate the expression of downstream genes.
Source: Rfam by way of RNAcentral
UUGAAAAAUCCGAGAGAGCUCUUCCGGUAGAACGGAAGCGCCGAAGGGGCAAGGAAUCAUCUGAAACUCUCAGGCACAGGAAUCGGGUUUGGACA